AAAGACAGCAAAUAUUUUUCAUUGCGUCGGCCUCAGUUUGAGUGUGCUUUGUCAGGUCUUCACCUCCUGCUUGCUGUGUUUUAUGUGUUUUAUAAAAGUAGGAGCCCAAGGCAGCAAGCAUGAAAAUGUUGAUCUGAAUUGCUUACAUCACUGACUGUCCCAGCUCCGACUUUCUGAUCAACUCGACUUUUUCAUCCACAACCCUGCUGAUGUUUCUCAGGGGACUGACCUGAUGUCAGUGCACAUGAGGAACCUUCCUUCACCAUCUCCCGGGGCUAUUGCCAAAGUCUCCAAAACCAGUGGAACAAAAGAGGGACCUCCUCUGAUGGGAAGAAUCUGAACUCCAGUUUGAUAAGAUAAGGGAGCGUCAUGAUCUGAAAUGAAGGACAUGGUCCACCCAGGCAGAAACACUGGAGGAGGGUGUGAAGCAAAGCCGAUGAGAGGCAUGGCCUGGGGAGAAAAGAUGUGACUGAUGAGGAUGUGUGGAUUGAGGGCCAGACAUGCCUGAGGUUCCCCCCACUGGCUUAAUCCAUAAUAUAUUUGUUAGUCUUUAAAGUGCCACAAGAAUCUUUGUUGUUUUUGUGGCAAUGGGUGACUACAGCUCUCUCCGCCUUCUGAAAACGGUUAAAAUGGAAGAGCUUUAUUUUUUCAUCCUGACAUUCUGUGAUUCUUGUUAGAGAUUUUCCCUCCCGCCUUCUGAUUUACACAGUGUUGUUGAUAAGAGACCCCGUGUCUCUCAAAGGGGCAGGAAAUAUAUCUUGGGAAAAGAAAAUAUAUCUUGGGAAAAGAAAAUGAAAUGCAAAAUGAGUAAUCCACCACUAGAGGGCAUUGAAGACUGGAUCGUGUGAUGUGGUACAGUUUUCCCGUGUUCAUCUAGCCUGCAGAAACUGCUGCAUUGAAUCCCAUGGAUCCAUGGACUGAAGGCAUGGCAUGAGGAUCAAAAUGGGAUACUACAGCCCAAGGAUAAGUAAGCAAACAAGGAUGAGUCCAUGCCUCAAAGCAAGGCUUCUGAAUGUUCUCUGUCCUCCAAGUGUGUGCAGAGCACUGAAGGCCCGAGAAUGUCUGCAUGAAACUGCAUGGGGAAACUGUUGGUUGAACAACCAAACGUUUAUAGCAAUGGGUUAUAGCCAGUUAAGUUCUACUCAGAGUAGAUCUAUUGAAAGUAGUGGACCUUAGUUAGCCAUGUCCAUUAAUUGCAAUGGGUCUAGUCUGAGUAGAACUAACCCAAUGUUUUCCACAAAGAAGACAUGGGAUAUGUAGUUUUAAUGUUUAUUUUCUGUGUACAUUUAUUACUUUUCAUUUGAUUUUAACAUUGGGGAAAAAUUUCUAAGGGAGAGGGCUGUGAUUUACCAGUGAAAUUCAGAACUGUAAGUUUCUUAAAUUUGUACAUAGUUUUAUUUGGGUCUCUCUCUGAGCUAAUUUCUGUUGAAGUUACCUUGUGUUAGUUUAUACAGAUAGGUAGUUUCCUUUGUCAAACUCUUGUUUUGUGACAGUCUGAUGGCUUGUUGUUAUACGCCUUCAAGUCGAUUGCGACUUAUGGCAACCCUGUGAAUCUUUCUUUUAUAUAUUCAUAGGGUUUUCAUGGUAAGAGGUUUUCAGAGGUGGUUUACCAUUGCCUUCCUCUAAGCCUAUGGCACCUGGUAUUCCCAGGCGGUCUCCCAUCCAAGUACUAACUAGACCUGACCCUGCUUAGCUUCCGAGAUCAGAUGAGAUUGGGCAUGUUCAGAAUAGCAUGGCCAUAGACAGUCUGAUGGCUAGAUACAAAUAAACAAACUCCACCUCUUCACACUGUUGGGCCAAACACUUCUGAGUCAUUUCCCCUUGCAGGACCAGAGCACACAGCGCAGACUGCUGCAGAAUAAAUAGUAACUGGACAAGAAUGUUCCAGUGCAGCUUCCUCAUCUGACAAAUAGUGAUAGCAUGAUUAUAUCACCCAACAGGUGAAUCCCCAAACACUGGCUUCAAAGGGACCACCAAGUGAGUGCCCACCCAGGAAGAGAAUGGGGAGAUGGGUAGAGGGAUGGGGAAGAAAUUUGAUUCAGUUUGCAUUUAUUGAUUAAUUGAUUGAUUAAACUUCUAACCCGCCCUUCCUCCCAGAAGGAGCCCAGGGCAGCAAAGGACAAAACACUGAAAACAUCUUAAAACAUCUCAAAAAACAAAACGUUUUAAAAAUAAAACAUCUUAAAAACAUCUUUAAAAAACAAAAACAUAAAAAGUAAUUCCAACACAGAUGCAGUGUGGGUUAAGAUCUCUAUUUAAAAGGCUUGAUGAAAGAGGAAGGUCUUCAGUUGGCGGCAAAAAGACAACAGAGAUAGCGCCUGUCUAAUAUUUAAGGGGAGGGAAUUCCAAAGGGUCGGUGCCACUACACUAAAGGUCCGCUUCCUAUGUUGUACGGAAUGGACCUUCUGAUAAGAUGGUAUCUGCAGGAGGCCCUCACCUGCAGAGCGCAGUGAUUAACUGGGUACAUAAGGUGAACUGACCAUAUUUAAAGGGACUUGCUAUUUAACUGUGAACUUACGGAAUUCACAGUUUUUGAAACAAUACCCCAAAUGAAACACAAGAAGCCUUUGAAAUUUGCCCUUCUCUGAACUUUGUAAUGCGGUUCUCCAGCCA
Molecule: long non-coding RNA, 2613 nt
Organism: Rhineura floridana
Lineage: Eukaryota; Metazoa; Chordata; Lepidosauria; Squamata; Rhineuridae
Exons: 4
Source: RefSeq, a predicted model, not a curated record